GACGAACGCUGGCGGCGUGCCUAAUACAUGCAAGUUGAGCGCUGAAGGUUGGUACUUGUACCAACUGGAUGAGCAGCGAACGGGUGAGUAACGCGUGGGUAAUCUGCCUUUGAGCGGGGGACAACAUUUGGAAACGAAUGCUAAUACCGCAUAAAAACUUUAAACACAAGUUUUAAGUUUGAAAGAUGCAAUUGCAUCACUCAAAGAUGAUCUCGCGUUGUAUUAGCUAGUUGGUGAGGUAAAGGCUCACCAAGGCGAUGAUACAUAGCCGACCUGAGAGGGGGAUCGGCCACAUUGGGACUGAGACACGGCCCAAACUCCUACGGGAGGCAGCAGUAGGGAAUCUUCGGCAAUGGACGAAAGUCUGACCGAGCAACGCCGCGUGAGUGAAGAAGGUUUUCGGAUCGUAAAACUCUGUUGGUAGAGAAGAACGUUGGUGAGAGUGGAAAGCUCAUCAAGUGACGGUAACUACCCAGAAAGGGACGGCUAACUACGUG
This 497-nucleotide ribosomal RNA is filed under the name uncultured bacterium. Its description in RNAcentral is "partial 16S ribosomal RNA". It matches the Rfam family "Bacterial small subunit ribosomal RNA", at positions 28 to 507 of the family's 1533-position model. The record is from RNAcentral.